UGCUGGAUAGCUCAGGUGGUAGAGCAUGAGACUCUGAAUCUCAGGGUCAUGGGUUCAAGCCCCACAUUGGGCUAA
Zootoca vivipara (common lizard) is the source of this 75-nucleotide non-coding RNA. The record is from the annotation of a RefSeq genome assembly. Lineage: Eukaryota; Metazoa; Chordata; Lepidosauria; Squamata; Lacertidae.